AGAGUUUGAUCCUGGCUCAGAGCGAACGCUGGGCGCAGGCCUUAAAACAUGCAAGUCGAACGGAUCCUUCGGGAUUAGUGGCGGACGGGUGAGUAACACGUGGGAACGUGCCUUUUGGUUCGGAACAACUCAGGGAAACUUGAGCUAAUACCGAAUGUGCCCUUCGGGGGAAAGAUUUAUCGCCAUUAGAGCGGCCCGCGUCUGAUUAGCUUGUUGGUGAGGUAAAGGCUCACCAAGGCGACGAUCAGUAGCUGGUCUGAGAGGAUGAUCAGCCACACUGGGACUGAGACACGGCCCAGACUCCUACGGGAGGCAGCAGUUAGGAAUCUUGCGCAAUGGGGGAAACCCUGACGCAGCCAUGCCGCGUGAAUGAUGAAGGUCUUAGGAUUGUAAAAUUCUUUCAGCGGGGACGAUAAUGACGGUACCCGCAGAAGAAGCCCGGCUAACUUCGUG
Molecule: ribosomal RNA, 453 nt
Filed under: uncultured bacterium
Lineage: Bacteria
Description: bacterial SSU rRNA
Rfam family: Bacterial small subunit ribosomal RNA
Source: RNAcentral